UACAGAGGUCCCGAGCGUUGUUCGGAUUCAUUGGGCGUAAAGGGUGCGUAGGCGGCGGGGCAAGUCUGAUGUGAAAUCCCGGGGCUCAACCCCGGAACUGCAUUGGAUACUGCCUUGCUAGAGUACUGGAGAGGGAACUGGAAUUUACGGUGUAGCAGUGAAAUGCGUAGAUAUCGUAAGGAAGGCCAGUGGCGAAGGCGAGUUCCUGGACAGUUACUGACGCUGAGGCACGAAGGCCAGGGGAGCAAACGGG
This 253-nucleotide ribosomal RNA is filed under the name uncultured bacterium. Its description in RNAcentral is "partial 16S ribosomal RNA". It matches the Rfam family "Bacterial small subunit ribosomal RNA", at positions 524 to 776 of the family's 1533-position model. The record is from RNAcentral.